Molecule: ribosomal RNA, 486 nt
Filed under: Balanocochlis glans
Lineage: Eukaryota; Metazoa; Mollusca; Gastropoda; Thiaridae
Description: partial 16S ribosomal RNA
Rfam family: Archaeal large subunit ribosomal RNA (bases 223-474)
Source: RNAcentral
UUGUUGAGAACUAUAUAAUUUGAAAUUAUUGUGUGGGCCUAAAAUUAGCCAUCACAAGAGUUUGUUAUAAAAUAAUAAAAACACAUAAGAAUAUUAUUAUAUAUAACACCACGUAAAACUAUAAGAAUAAUAAUCUGAACCAAAAGAUUAAUUUACCUAUGCUAGGAUGAGUAUUAUAAACUAUCUAAGUUGAAAAAUAAAGUGUUUCCUAAAAAAAUAUCUUUUAUAUAAAUUAAAGAGAAGGAAUUCGGCAAAUGUUGUUUCGCCUGUUUAUCAAAAACAUGGCUCUUUGAAAAGAACAUAUAAAGAGUCGAACCUGCCCAGUGAAUAAUUUUAACGGCCGCGGUACCCUGACCGUGCAAAGGUAGCAUAAUCAUUUGCCUUAUAAUUGAAGGCUAGCAUGAAUGGUCUGACGAGAGCAACACUGUCUCCUCUUUAUUAUUUAAAAAUUAACUUAUAGGUGAAGAGGCCUAUAUUGGAUUGAAG